This 85-nucleotide transfer RNA is filed under the name Oscillospiraceae bacterium. Its description in RNAcentral is "tRNA-Tyr". It matches the Rfam family "tRNA". From Rfam's summary of the family: Transfer RNA (tRNA) molecules are approximately 80 nucleotides in length. Lineage: Bacteria; Bacillati; Bacillota; Clostridia; Eubacteriales; Oscillospiraceae. The record is from RNAcentral.
GGGGAGGUUCCCGAGUGGCCAAAGGGGACAGACUGUAAAUCUGCUGCUUAUUGCUUCGGUGGUUCGAAUCCACCCCUCCCCACCA